UUUCACUUGUCUCUCUCACUGAUCCUGGCUGAUCUCAGAAGCUAAGAAGGAUCAGGCCUUGCUAGAACUUGGAUGGAAGACCACCAGGUAAUGACAGGCCAGACUGAGAC
Molecule: ribosomal RNA, 110 nt
Filed under: Salvator merianae (Argentine black and white tegu)
Lineage: Eukaryota; Metazoa; Chordata; Lepidosauria; Squamata; Teiidae
Source: RNAcentral